AACGCUAGCUACAGGCUUAACACAUGCAAGUCGAGGGGCAGCAUGGUCUUAGCUUGCUAAGGCCGAUGGCGACCGGCGCACGGGUGAGUAACACGUAUCCAACCUGCCGUCUACUCUUGGACAGCCUUCUGAAAGGAAGAUUAAUACAAGAUGGCAUCAUGAGUCCGCAUGUUCACAUGAUUAAAGGUAUUCCGGUAGACGAUGGGGAUGCGUUCCAUUAGAUAGUAGGCGAGGUAACGGCCCACCUAGUCUUCGAUGGAUAGGGGUUCUGAGAGGAAGGUCCCCCACAUUGGAACUGAGACACGGUCCAAACUCCUACGGGAGGCAGCAGUGAGGAAUAUUGGUCAAUGGGCGAGAGCCUGAACCAGCCAAGUAGCGUGAAGGAUGACUGCCCUAUGGGUCGUAAACUUCUUUAUAAAGGAAUAAAGUCGGGUAUGGAUACCCAUUUGCAUGUACUUUAUGAAUAAGGAUCGGCUAACUCCGUGCCAGCAGCCGCGGUAAUACGGAGGAUCCGAGCGUUAUCCGGAUUUAUUGGGUUUAAAGGGAGCGUAGAUGGAUGUUUAAGUCAGUUGUGAAAGUUUGCGGCUCAACCGUAAAAUUGCAGUUGAUACUGGAUAUCUUGAGUGCAGUUGAGGCAGGCGGAAUUCGUGGUGUAGCGGUGAAAUGCUUAGAUAUCACGAAGAACUCCGAUUG
Molecule: ribosomal RNA, 693 nt
Filed under: uncultured Bacteroidales bacterium
Lineage: Bacteria; Pseudomonadati; Bacteroidota; Bacteroidia; Bacteroidales
Description: bacterial SSU rRNA
Rfam family: Bacterial small subunit ribosomal RNA
Source: RNAcentral